Molecule: ribosomal RNA, 447 nt
Filed under: uncultured bacterium
Lineage: Bacteria
Description: partial 16S ribosomal RNA
Rfam family: Bacterial small subunit ribosomal RNA
Source: RNAcentral
AGCGAACGCUGGCGGCAGGCUUAACACAUGCAAGUCGAGCGCCCCGCAAGGGGAGCGGCAGACGGGAGAGUAACACGUGGGAACGUACCCUUUAGUUCGGAACAACCCAGGGAAACUUGGGCUAAUACCGGAUACGUCCGUAAGGAGAAAGAUUUAUCGCUAAAGGAUCGGCCCGCGUCUGAUUAGCUAGUUGGUGAGGUAACGGCUCACCAAGGCGACGAUCAGUAGCUGGUCUGAGAGGAUGAUCAGCCUCACUGGGACUGAGAAACGGCCCAGACUCCUACGGGAGGCAGCAGUGGGGAAUAUUGGACAAUGGGCGCAAGCCUGAUCCAGCCAUGCCGCGUGGGUGAUGAGGGCCCUAGGGUUGUAAAGCCCUUUCGGCGGGGAAGAUAAUGACGGUACCCGCAGAAGAAGCCCCGGCUAACUUCGUGCCAGCAGCCGCCGUAA